Molecule: ribosomal RNA, 370 nt
Filed under: uncultured archaeon
Lineage: Archaea
Description: bacterial SSU rRNA
Rfam family: Archaeal small subunit ribosomal RNA
Source: RNAcentral
GUGCCAGCCGCCGCGGUAACACCGGCGGCUCGAGUGGUAACCGUUAUUAUUGGGUCUAAAGGGUCUGUAGCCGGCCGGAUAAGUCUCUUGAGAAAUCUGGCAGCUUAACUGUCAGGCUUUCAGGAGAUACUGUCUGGCUCGAGGCCGGGAGAGGUGAGAGGUACUUCAGGGGUAGGGGUGAAAUCUUGUAAUCCUUGAAGGACCACCAGUGGCGAAGGCGUCUCACCAGAACGGACCUGACGGCAAGGGACGAAAGCUAGGGGCACGAACCGGAUUAGAUACCCGGGUAGUCCUAGCCGUAAACGAUACUCGCUAGGUGUCGGCCACGGUGCGACCGUUGUCGGUGCCGUAGGGAAGCCGUGAAGCGAGC